RNAcentral lists this ribosomal RNA (490 nucleotides) under uncultured bacterium. RNAcentral describes it as "partial 16S ribosomal RNA". It matches the Rfam family "Bacterial small subunit ribosomal RNA", at positions 30 to 507 of the family's 1533-position model. The record is from RNAcentral.
AUUGAACGCUGGCGGCAGGCCUAACACAUGCAAGUCGAACGGUAACAGGGAUCAGCUUGCUGAUUCGCUGACGAGUGGCGGACGGGUGAGUAAUGUCUGGGAAACUGCCUGAUGGAGGGGGAUAACUACUGGAAACGGUAGCUAAUACCGCAUAACGUCGCAAGACCAAAGAGGGGGACCUUCGGGCCUCUUGCCAUCGGAUGUGCCCAGAUGGGAUUAGCUAGUAGGUGGGGUAACGGCUCACCUAGGCGACGAUCCCUAGCUGGUCUGAGAGGAUGACCAGCCACACUGGAACUGAGACACGGUCCAGACUCCUACGGGAGGCAGCAGUGUGGAAUAUUGCGCAAUGGGCGCAAGCCUGAUGCAGCCAUGCCGCGUGUAUGAAGAAGGCCUUCGGGUUGUAAAGUACUUUCAGCGGGGAGGAAGGGAGUAAAGUUAAUACCUUUGCUCAUUGACGUUACCCGCAGAAGAAGCACCGGCUAACUCCGUG